CGACGAGUUUGAUCCUGGCUCAGAACGAACGCUGGCGGCAGGAUUAACACAUGCAAGUCGAGCGCCCCGCAAGGGGAGCGGCAGACGGGUGAGUAACGCGUGGGAAUCUACCCAUCUCUACGGAAUAACUCAGGGAAACUUGUGCUAAUACCGUAUACGCCCUUCGGGGGAAAGAUUUAUCGGAGAUGGAUGAGCCCGCGUUGGAUUAGCUAGUUGGUGGGGUAAAGGCCUACCAAGGCGACGAUCCAUAGCUGGUCUGAGAGGAUGAUCAGCCACACUGGGACUGAGACACGGCCCAGACUCCUACGGGAGGCAGCAGUGGGGAAUAUUGGACAAUGGGCGCAAGCCUGAUCCAGCCAUGCCGCGUGAGUGAUGAAGGCCCUAGGGUUGUAAAGCUCUUUCACCGGUGAAGAUAAUGACGGUAACCGGAGAAGAAGCCCCGGCUAACUUCGUG
RNAcentral lists this ribosomal RNA (454 nucleotides) under uncultured bacterium. Its description in RNAcentral is "bacterial SSU rRNA". It matches the Rfam family "Bacterial small subunit ribosomal RNA", at positions 1 to 507 of the family's 1533-position model. The record is from RNAcentral.